Molecule: long non-coding RNA, 512 nt
Filed under: Olea europaea subsp. europaea
Lineage: Eukaryota; Viridiplantae; Streptophyta; Magnoliopsida; Lamiales; Oleaceae
Source: RNAcentral
ACAAUCUUGAGUUAAAAUGAAUGCCUCUCCAAGAACUCAAGAAAUGACAUACUUCGAUCACAUUCAGAGAUGCCACGAAGAGAGAGGCCCUCUCUAUGCUUGGUAUUGUAGCUUUAGAAUCACUUUUUCUUUUAUGAUUAAUUUCACUUGUUUUAUAUAUAUUUUUAAGUUUUUAGAAAUCCCUCACUUUUUGUGUCUUGUGUUGCAGCCUAUAUACUUUUUUCUGCUGUUUCUGUUGCGUAGAGGCUUGUGAAUGCUGCUUGGAUUGCUUGUGCUGCUGUUGCCGCCGUCCUUAAUGCAUGUUUGGUACGAAAAGUCGGAUAAUUUUUUAUGGUAUUUAAGAUCGAAAAGAAGUAGGGUCCUUUCUGAUACUACUUACAGAAAGUGCUAAUGAAUAAACUAUUGGAUGCUUCAAUAAAUUAGUAUGUUUGUUGUUGGAUUCUUUGCUUGUAUUAAUUAUAAACUUCUGGCUAAUGUUUAUAAAUGGUUUAUGAUAGGUUAUAUCAUUUUUA